UUGAACGCUGGCGGCAGGCCUAACACAUGCAAGUCGAGCGGAUGAAGGGAGCUUGCUCCUGGAUUCAGCGGCGGACGGGUGAGUAAUGCCUAGGAAUCUGCCUGGUAGUGGGGGAUAACGUCCGGAAACGGGCGCUAAUACCGCAUACGUCCUGAGGGAGGAAGUGGGGGAUCUUCGGACCUCACGCUAUCAGAUGAGCCUAGGUCGGAUUAGCUAGUUGGUGGGGUAAAGGCCUACCAAGGCGACGAUCCGUAACUGGUCUGAGAGGAUGAUCAGUCACACUGGAACUGAGACACGGUCCAGACUCCUACGGGAGGCAGCAGUGGGGAAUAUUGGACAAUGGGCGAAAGCCUGAUCCAGCCAUGCCGCGUGUGUGAAGAAGGUCUUCGGAUUGUAAAGCACUUUAAGUUGGGAGGAAGGGCAGUAAGUUAAUACCUUGCUGUUUUGACGUUACCAACAGAAUAAGCACCGGCUAACUUCGUG
Molecule: ribosomal RNA, 483 nt
Filed under: uncultured bacterium
Lineage: Bacteria
Description: partial 16S ribosomal RNA
Rfam family: Bacterial small subunit ribosomal RNA
Source: RNAcentral